This 506-nucleotide ribosomal RNA is filed under the name uncultured Glomeromycotina. RNAcentral describes it as "SSU rRNA". It matches the Rfam family "Eukaryotic small subunit ribosomal RNA", at positions 569 to 1077 of the family's 1831-position model. The record is from RNAcentral. Lineage: Eukaryota; Fungi; Glomeromycota.
AGCAGCCGCGGUAAUUCCAGCUCCAAUAGCGUAUAUUAAAGUUGUUGCAGUUAAAGAGCUCGUAGUUGAAUUUCGGGAUCAAAUUGUUGGUCGUGCUUCGGUACGCACUGGCAUUAUUGGUUCCUACCUUCUGAAGAACCGCGAUGUCAUUAAUUUGGUGUCGUGGGGAAUCAGGACUGUUACUUUGAAAAAAUUAGAGUGUUUAAAGCAGGCUUACGCUUGAAUACAUUAGCAUGGAAUAAUGAAAUAGGACGUUUGAUUCUAUUUUGUUGGUUUCUAGGAUCGACGUAAUGAUUAAUAGGGAUAGUUGGGGGCAUUAGUAUUCAAUUGUCAGAGGUGAAAUUCUUGGAUUUAUUGAAGACUAACUACUGCGAAAGCAUUUGCCAAGGAUGUUUUCAUUAAUCAAGAACGAAAGUUAGGGGAUCGAAGACGAUCAGAUACCGUCGUAGUCUUAACCAUAAACUAUGCCGACUAGGGAUCGGAUGAUGUUAAUUUUUUAAUGACUC